GGAAUUGACGGGGACCCGCACAAGCGGUGGAUGAUGUGGAUUAAUUCGAUGCAACGCGAAAAACCUUACCUACCCUUGACAUGGAAGGAAUCCCCGAGAGAUUGGGGAGUGCCCGAAAGGGAACCUUUACACAGGUGCUGCAUGGCUGUCGUCAGCUCGUGUCGUGAGAUGUUGGGUUAAGUCCCGCAACGAGCGCAACCCUUGUCAUUAGUUGCUACGAAAGGGCACUCUAAUGAGACUGCCGGUGACAAACCG
Molecule: ribosomal RNA, 255 nt
Filed under: Pseudoduganella aquatica
Lineage: Bacteria; Pseudomonadati; Pseudomonadota; Betaproteobacteria; Burkholderiales; Oxalobacteraceae
Description: partial 16S ribosomal RNA
Rfam family: Bacterial small subunit ribosomal RNA
Source: RNAcentral